CGAUUUUUGGAUAAAAUAAAAAAAAAAAGAUGUUGCGGAGACAGGAUUUGAACCCGUGACCUCAAGGUUAUGAG
RNAcentral lists this transfer RNA (74 nucleotides) under Clerodendranthus spicatus. Its description in RNAcentral is "tRNA-Met". Lineage: Eukaryota; Viridiplantae; Streptophyta; Magnoliopsida; Lamiales; Lamiaceae. The record is from RNAcentral.